RNAcentral lists this ribosomal RNA (492 nucleotides) under uncultured bacterium. RNAcentral's name for it is "partial 16S ribosomal RNA". It matches the Rfam family "Bacterial small subunit ribosomal RNA", at positions 29 to 507 of the family's 1533-position model. The record is from RNAcentral.
AGUGAACGCUGGCGGUAGGCCUUACACAUGCAAGUCGAACGGCAGCACAGUAAGAGCUUGCUCUUACGGGUGGCGAGUGGCGUACUGGUGAGGAAUACAUCGGAAUCUACUUUUUCGUGGGGGGUAACGUAGGGAAACUUAGGCUAAUACCGCAUACGACCUACGGGUGAAAGCAGGGGAUCUUCUGACCUUGCGCGAUUGAAUGAGCCGAUGUCGGAUUAGCUAGUUGGCGGGGUAAAGGCCCACCAAGGCGACGAUCCGUAGCUGGUCUGAGAGGAUGAUCAGCCACACUGGAACUGAGACACGGUCCAGACUCCUACGGGAGGCAGCAGUGGGGAAUAUUGGACAAUGGGCGCAAGCCUGAUCCAGCCAUACCGCGUGGGUGAAGAAGGCCUUCGGGUUGUAAAGCCCUUUUGUUCGGAAAGAAAAGCAGCAGGUUAAUACCCCGCUGUUCUGACGGUACCCAAAGAAUAAGCACCGGCUAACUUCGUG